UUAAGGUGGUAUGGGAGUCUAAAAUAAAAAUGAUAGAAUUUGUUCAUACUUUGCCAAAACGUUGUAUCUGUUGAUACAUGUUGAAAAAUAUAAUAAAAAUGAUAGGUCACCGCGCAUUUUCUCAAGCUACAGGACGGGAGAAAAUGACACAUUUUGUAUGGAUUAUACAGGAAAAAACACCAUUUUGUGAUUAGAAACUAAACAAAAUGAUAGAAUUGUUAAAUACUUCAGGAAAAGAUAGCUUUCAGACACUGCUUUGAGAAUAUCAAAAGAAAAGAUAGGGUCACCGUACGCU
RNAcentral lists this long non-coding RNA (295 nucleotides) under Mytilus galloprovincialis (Mediterranean mussel). Lineage: Eukaryota; Metazoa; Mollusca; Bivalvia; Mytilida; Mytilidae. The record is from RNAcentral.